CCUACGGGAGGCAGCAGUGAGGAAUAUUGGUCAAUGGACGAGAGUCUGAACCAGCCAAGUAGCGUGAAGGAUGACUGCCCUAUGGGUUGUAAACUUCUUUUAUAUGGGAAUAAAACGUUCCACGUGUGGGAUUUUGUAUGUACCAUAUGAAUAAGGAUCGGCUAACUCCGUGCCAGCAGCCGCGGUAAUACGGAGGAUCCGAGCGUUAUCCGGAUUUAUUGGGUUUAAAGGGAGCGUAGGUGGAUUGUUAAGUCAGUUGUGAAAGUGUGCGGCUCAACCGUAAAAUUGCAGUUGAAACUGGCAGUCUUGAGUACAGUAGAGGUGGGCGGAAUUCGUGGUGUAGCGGUGAAAUGCUUAGAUAUCACGAAGAACUCCGAUUGCGAAGGCAGUUCACUGGACUGCAACUGACACUGAGGCUCGAAAGUGUGGGUAUCAAACAGGAUUAGAUACCCUGUAUUC
This 459-nucleotide ribosomal RNA is filed under the name uncultured bacterium. RNAcentral's name for it is "partial 16S ribosomal RNA". It matches the Rfam family "Bacterial small subunit ribosomal RNA", at positions 338 to 795 of the family's 1533-position model. The record is from RNAcentral.